Molecule: ribosomal RNA, 468 nt
Filed under: uncultured bacterium
Lineage: Bacteria
Description: partial 16S ribosomal RNA
Rfam family: Bacterial small subunit ribosomal RNA
Source: RNAcentral
GACGAACGCUGGCGGCGUGCUUAACACAUGCAAGUCGAACGGAAAGGCCCUGCUUUUGUGGGGUGCUCGAGUGGCGAACGGGUGAGUAACACGUGAGUAACCUGCCCUUGACUUUGGGAUAACUUCAGGAAACUGGGGCUAAUACCGGAUAGGAGCUCCUGCUGCCUGGUGGGGGUUGGAAAGUUUCGGCGGUUGGGGAUGAACUCGCGGCUUAUCAGCUUGUUGGUGGGGUAGUGGCUUACCAAGGCUUUGACGGGUAGCCGGCCUGAGAGGGUGACCGGCCACAUUGGGACUGAGAUACGGCCCAGACUCCUACGGGAGGCAGCAGUGGGGAAUAUUGCACAAUGGGCGGAAGCCUGAUGCAGCAACGCCGCGUGCGUGAUGACGGCCUUCGGGUUGGAAACCGCUUUCGCCUGUGACGAAGCGUGAGUGACGGUAAUGGGUAAAGAAGCACCGGCUAACUACGUG